RNAcentral lists this ribosomal RNA (464 nucleotides) under Pseudoalteromonas sp. B5. RNAcentral describes it as "bacterial SSU rRNA". It matches the Rfam family "Bacterial small subunit ribosomal RNA", at positions 1 to 472 of the family's 1533-position model. The record is from RNAcentral. Lineage: Bacteria; Pseudomonadati; Pseudomonadota; Gammaproteobacteria; Alteromonadales; Pseudoalteromonadaceae.
CCUUAGAGUUUGGAUCCUGGCUCAGAUUGAACGCUGGCGGCAGGCCUAACACAUGCAAGUCGAGCGGUAACAUUUCUAGCUUGCUAGAAGAUGACGAGCGGCGGACGGGUGAGUAAUGCUUGGGAAUAUGCCUUAGGGUGGGGGACAACAGUUGGAAACGACUGCUAAUACCGCAUAACGUCUACGGACCAAAGGGGGCUUCGGCUCUCGCCCUUAGAUUAGCCCAAGUGGGAUUAGCUAGUUGGUGAGGUAAUGGCUCACCAAGGCGACGAUCCCUAGCUGGUUUGAGAGGAUGAUCAGCCACACUGGAACUGAGACACGGUCCAGACUCCUACGGGAGGCAGCAGUGGGGAAUAUUGCACAAUGGGCGCAAGCCUGAUGCAGCCAUGCCGCGUGUGUGAAGAAGGCCUUAGGGUUGUAAAGCACUUUCAGUAAGGAGGAAAGGUUAGUAGUUAAUACCCUGC